CCUACGGGUGGCAGCAGUGGGGAAUAUUGCACAAUGGGGGGAACCCUGAUGCAGCGACGCCGCGUGUGGGAAGACGGUCCUCUGGAUUGUAAACCACUGUCCCCAGGGACGAAAAUGACGGUACCUGGGGAGGAAGCUCCGGCUAACUACGUGCCAGCAGCCGCGGUAAUACGUAGGGAGCGAGCGUUGUCCGGAAUUACUGGGUGAAAAGGGAGCGUAGGCGGGGAUGCAAGUUGGGUGUCAAGACUACCGGCUAAACUGGUAGUCGCACUCAAAACUGCAGCUCUUGAGUGAAGUAGAGGCAGGCGGAAUUCCUAGUGUAGCGGUGAAAUGCGUAGAUAUUAGGAGGAACACCAGUGGCGAAGGCGGCCUGCUGGGCUGUUACUGACGCUGAGGCUCGAAAGUGUGGGGAGCAAACAGGAUUAGAUACCCCUGUAGUC
Molecule: ribosomal RNA, 440 nt
Filed under: uncultured bacterium
Lineage: Bacteria
Description: partial 16S ribosomal RNA
Rfam family: Bacterial small subunit ribosomal RNA
Source: RNAcentral